Molecule: long non-coding RNA, 674 nt
Organism: Perca flavescens (yellow perch)
Lineage: Eukaryota; Metazoa; Chordata; Actinopteri; Perciformes; Percidae
Exons: 3
Source: RefSeq, a predicted model, not a curated record
CCCCAGCACCGUCACGUCACAACAGGUGUAAUAAUAUGGGUCUGGCUAACAUGCUAAAUGCUCAAAUGCUCAUGAUGGAACCUCCACCAGUGAUGUAUGAGUUCACUGAGGAACGUUUACCUUCAGUAAGGGGGUGUGAGGCCUUUCUGCUGUUCUCUGUCACCGUCCAUUGUCACAGUGUUGUGACUGCGGAGCCUCAUUCAGCUCAAAAUGUUUGACAACUUUCAGGAGCGCAGUGGGACGGAGAGGCCGAGAGGAGGUCUGGAGCUGGGGCUAAUACCUAUGGACUGAGAAUGGAUGAGAAGUUGAGCCAAAUGUGGAGGACUUUGUGGUGCCAGAUUGACCUUCAGACUGAUGAUGUCGGUCGAGAGAGAGAGUGGUGAAGUACACUGAACUGGAGAGUGAGGCACCCUGGGAAACCCAGAAGCGUCCCCCCACCCCCCCUCCUCCUGAUUGGCCCAGCAAAGGCCUGGUGACCUUUGACCAGGUCAGCUUCUCCUACAGCACUGAAGGACCGCUAGUGCUACAGAGCCUGAAAGAGAAGGUUCUAGAUGCAGGGAAGAUGCAUGCCUAUGAUGAGCCGUAUACCCUGCUUCAAGAUCCAGAUGGCAUCUUUUAUAAAAUGGUUCAGCAGACUGGCAAGCAGGAGGCAGCAGCUCUGCUAGAGGCAACUA